GCCACGGUGGCGAAAUUGGUAUACGCGCACGACUCAAAAUCGUGUUCUUAUUGUGAGAGUGAGGGUUCGAAUCCCUCCCGUGGCACCA
This 88-nucleotide transfer RNA is filed under the name Candidatus Saccharimonadota bacterium. Its description in RNAcentral is "tRNA-Leu". It matches the Rfam family "tRNA". From Rfam's summary of the family: Transfer RNA (tRNA) molecules are approximately 80 nucleotides in length. Lineage: Bacteria; Candidatus Saccharimonadota. The record is from RNAcentral.